GUCUACAGCCAUGCCACCCUGAACACGCCUGAUCUCGUCUGAUCUCGGAAGCUAAGCAGGGUCAGGCCUGCUUAGUACUUGGAUGGGAGACCACCUAGGAAGACCGGGGGCUGUAGGCG
This 119-nucleotide ribosomal RNA is filed under the name Pteropus alecto (black flying fox). The record is from RNAcentral. Lineage: Eukaryota; Metazoa; Chordata; Mammalia; Chiroptera; Pteropodidae.